GGCAGGGUAGGAAAGGGGGUAGGAAAGGCCGAUGUCCGGGCUCAUAACCCGAAGACCGUGGGUUCAAAUCCCACCCCCGCAACCA
RNAcentral lists this transfer RNA (85 nucleotides) under Solidesulfovibrio carbinolicus. RNAcentral's name for it is "Desulfovibrio carbinolicus tRNA-Met". It matches the Rfam family "tRNA". From Rfam's summary of the family: Transfer RNA (tRNA) molecules are approximately 80 nucleotides in length. Their secondary structure includes four short double-helical elements and three loops (D, anti-codon, and T loops). Further hydrogen bonds mediate the characteristic L-shaped molecular structure. tRNAs have two regions of fundamental functional importance: the anti-codon, which is responsible for specific mRNA codon recognition, and the 3' end, to which the tRNAs corresponding amino acid is attached (by aminoacyl-tRNA synthetases). tRNAs cope with the degeneracy of the genetic code in two manners: having more than one tRNA (with a specific anti-codon) for a particular amino acid; and 'wobble' base-pairing, i.e. permitting non-standard base-pairing at the 3rd anti-codon position. Lineage: Bacteria; Pseudomonadati; Thermodesulfobacteriota; Desulfovibrionia; Desulfovibrionales; Desulfovibrionaceae. The record is from RNAcentral.